AGUCUCUUGUUCCUAAUUUCUGUGCAAUAUUGCAUUAGUAGAUAGCUCAUACUACAUAUCGUUUCUAUUUUUUUAGCAUAAGGAUUGACACACCAGUAGGAUUAUCUCUGUAGCUGCCCCUAUAUAUAAGACUGUGCAUUUUAUUCUUCGCAUUAAGUCCUGUUUAAAUAUGUUUGCAACAAUAUGUAUCACUGCCUUAGCAU
Non-coding RNA from Pelobates cultripes (western spadefoot toad), 203 nucleotides. NCBI's taxonomy places the organism in Eukaryota, Metazoa, Chordata, Amphibia, Anura, Pelobatidae. The record is from the annotation of a GenBank genome assembly.